RNAcentral lists this ribosomal RNA (424 nucleotides) under uncultured bacterium. Its description in RNAcentral is "partial 16S ribosomal RNA". It matches the Rfam family "Bacterial small subunit ribosomal RNA", at positions 360 to 776 of the family's 1533-position model. The record is from RNAcentral.
AAUAUUUGACAAUGGGCGAAAGCCUGAUCCAGCCAUGCCGCGUGUGUGAAGAAGGUCUUCGGAUUNUAAAGCACUUUAAGUUGGGGNGAAGGGUAGUAAGUUAAUACCUUGCUGUAUUGACGUAACCGACAGAAUAAGCACCGGCUAACUUCGUGCCACCAGCCGCGGUAAUACGAAGGGUGCAAGCGUUAAUCGGAAUUACUGGGCGUAAAGCGCGCGUAGGUGGUUUGUUAAGUUGGAAGUGAAAGCCCCGGGCUUAACCUUGGAAUUGCUUUCAAAACUGAAGCGCUAGAGUACGGUAGAGGGUAGUGGAAUUUCCUGUGUAGCGGUGAAAUGCGUAGAUAUAGGAAGGAACAUCAAUGGCGAAGGCGACUACCUGGACUGAUACUGACACUGAGGUGCGAAAGCGUGGGGAGCAAACAGG